Molecule: ribosomal RNA, 305 nt
Filed under: uncultured bacterium
Lineage: Bacteria
Description: bacterial SSU rRNA
Rfam family: Bacterial small subunit ribosomal RNA
Source: RNAcentral
UCCUACGGGACGCAGCAGCGAGGAAUAUUGGUCAAUGGGCGAGAGCCUGAACCAGCCAAGUCGCGUGAGGGAUGACUGCCCUAUGGGUUGUAAACCUCUUUUGUAUGGGGGGAAUAAGCUUUACGAGUAGAGUGAUGACAGUACCAUACGAAUAUGCAUCGGCUAACUCCGUGCCAGCAGCCGCGGUAAUACGGAGGAUGCGAGCGUUAUCCGGAUUUAUUGGGUUUAGAGGGUGCGUAGGCGGGCUGUUAAGUCAGCGGUCAAAUGUCGGGGCUCAACCCCGGCCUGCCGUUGAAACUGGCGGC